CACCUCCAGCAUUUCUAGUAUUGGAGGCACUGCCUGCCCGGUGACACUUGUUUAACGGCCGCGGUAUCCUGACCGUGCAAAGGUAGCAUAAUCAUUUGUUCUCUAAAUAGGGACUUGUAUGAAUGGCCACACGAGGGUUUAACUGUCUCUUACUCCCAAUCAGUGAAAUUGACCUUCCCGUGAAGAGGCGGGAAUACCACAAUAAGACGAGAAGACCCUAUGGAGCUUUAAUUAACUAACCCAAACUUAUGGGUACUAAACACCUACAAGGCAUAACAUAACACCAUUAUUAUGGGUUAGCAAUUUAGGUUGGGGUGACCUCGGAAUAUAAAAAAACUCCCGAGUGAUUAAAAUUUAGACCCACAAGUCAAAAUACAACAUCACUUAUUGAUCCAAUAAUUUUUGAUCAACGGAACAAGUUACCCUAGGGAUAACAGCGCAAUCCUAUUCAAGAGUCCAUAUCGACAAUAGGGUUUACGACCUCGAUGUUGGAUCAGGACAUCCUAAUGGUGCAGCAGCUAUUAAGGGUUCGUUUGUUCAACGAUUAAAGUCCU
RNAcentral lists this ribosomal RNA (554 nucleotides) under Canis indica. Its description in RNAcentral is "partial 16S ribosomal RNA". It matches the Rfam family "Bacterial large subunit ribosomal RNA", at positions 1816 to 2597 of the family's 2925-position model. The record is from RNAcentral. Lineage: Eukaryota; Metazoa; Chordata; Mammalia; Carnivora; Canidae.